RNAcentral lists this ribosomal RNA (1346 nucleotides) under uncultured bacterium. Its description in RNAcentral is "partial 16S ribosomal RNA". It matches the Rfam family "Bacterial small subunit ribosomal RNA", at positions 28 to 1381 of the family's 1533-position model. The record is from RNAcentral.
GACGAACGCUGGCGGCGUGCUUAACACAUGCAAGUCGAACGGAAAGGCCCUGCUUUUGUGGGGUGCUCGAGUGGCGAACGGGUGAGUAACACGUGAGUAACCUGCCCUUGACUUUGGGAUAACUUCAGGAAACUGGGGCUAAUACCGGAUAGGAGCUCCUGCUGCAUGGUGGGGGUUGGAAAGUUUCGGCGGUUGGGGAUGGACUCGCGGCUUAUCAGCUUGUUGGUGGGGUAGUGGCUUACCAAGGCUUUGACGGGUAGCCGGCCUGAGAGGGUGACCGGCCACAUUGGGACUGAGAUACGGCCCAGACUCCUACGGGAGGCAGCGGUGGGGAAUAUUGCACAAUGGGCGGAAGCCUGAUGCAGCAACGCCGCGUGCGGGAUGACGGCCUUCGGGUUGUAAACCGCUUUCGCCUGUGACGAAGCGUGAGUGACGGUAAUGGGUAAAGAAGCACCGGCUAACUACGUGCCAGCAGCCGCGGUGAUACGUAGGGUGCGAGCGUUGUCCGGAUUUAUUGGGCGUAAAGGGCUCGUAGGUGGUUGAUCGCGUCGGAAGUGUAAUCUUGGGGCUUAACCCUGAGCGUGCUUUCGAUACGGGUUGACUUGAGGAAGGUAGGGGAGAAUGGAAUUCCUGGUGGAGCGGUGGAAUGCGCAGAUAUCAGGAGGAACACCAGUGGCGAAGGCGGUUCUCUGGGCCUUUCCUGACGCUGAGGAGCGAAAGCGUGGGGAGCGAACAGGCUUAGAUACCCUGGUAGUCCACGCUGUAAACGGUGGGUACUAGGUGUGGGGUCCAUUCCACGGGUUCCGUGCCGUAGCUAACGCUUUAAGUACCCCGCCUGGGGAGUACGGCCGCAAGGCUAAAACUCAAAGGAAUUGACGGGGCCCCGCACAAGCGGCGGAGCAUGCGGAUUAAUUCGAUGCAACGCGUAGAACCUUACCUGGGUUUGACAUGGAUCGGGAGUGCUCAGAGAUGGGUGUGCCUCUUUUGGGGUCGGUUCACAGGUGGUGCAUGGCUGUCGUCAGCUCGUGUCGUGAGAUGUUGGGUUAAGUCCCGCAACGAGCGCAACCCUUGUUCACUGUUGCCAGCACGUUAUGGUGGGGACUCAGUGGAGACCGCCGGGGUCAACUCGGAGGAAGGUGGGGAUGACGUCAAGUCAUCAUGCCCCUUAUGUCCAGGGCUUCACGCAUGCUACAAUGGCUGGUACAGAGAGUGGCGAGCCUGUGAGGGUGAGCGAAUCUCGGAAAGCCGGUCUCAGUUCGGAUUGGGGUCUGCAACUCGACCUCAUGAAGUCGGAGUCGCUAGUAAUCGCAGAUCAGCAACGCUGCGGUGAAAAAGUUCCCGGGGCU